RNAcentral lists this ribosomal RNA (468 nucleotides) under uncultured bacterium. RNAcentral's name for it is "partial 16S ribosomal RNA". It matches the Rfam family "Bacterial small subunit ribosomal RNA", at positions 28 to 507 of the family's 1533-position model. The record is from RNAcentral.
GACGAACGCUGGCGGCGUGCUUAACACAUGCAAGUCGAACGGAAAGGCCCUGCUUUUGUGGGGUGCUCGAGUGGCGAACGGGUGAGUAACACGUGAGUAACCUGCCCUUGACUUUGGGAUAACUUCAGGAAAAUGGGGCUAAUACCGGAUAGGAGCUCCUGCUGCAUGGUGGGGGUUGGAAAGUUUCGGCGGUUGGGGAUGGACUCGCAGCUUAUCAGCUUGUUGGUGGGGUAGUGGCUUACCAAGGCUUUGAAGGGUAGCCGGCCUGAGAGGGUGACCGGCCACAUUGGGACUGAGAUACGGCCCAGACGCCUACGGGAGGCAGCAGUGGGGAAUAUUGCACAAUGGGCGGAAGCCUGAUGCAGCAACGCCGCGUGCGGGAUGACGGCCUUCGGGUUGUAAACCGCUUUCGCCUGUGACGAAGCGUGAGUGGCGGUAAUGGGUAAAGAAGCACCGGCUAACUACGUG